This is a long non-coding RNA of Trifolium pratense (red clover), 593 nucleotides long. RefSeq lists it as uncharacterized. The transcript is spliced from 2 exons. The record is from RefSeq and is a predicted model, not a curated record. Lineage: Eukaryota; Viridiplantae; Streptophyta; Magnoliopsida; Fabales; Fabaceae.
GACAUCAUAAAUACUAGUAGACAUCAGAAAAACAUCUAAUAACACUAAUUCUAUAACUCUUUGCUCAUAUACAAUAUAUAAAAAAAAGGGAAAAACUAUUUAAGUGGUGUAAGAAGAACAUAAGCCUUAUAAAUUGUAAAGUGAUAAAAUAAAAUUCCAUCUGAUAUAUUCAAAGAGUGGAAAAUAUGGAUAAAAUUUUCAAGUUUGUUUAUGUUAUGAUAAUUCUUCUUUCCCUAGUUUUUGUUUCAACGCAAAUUCCAAAACUUCCAAUUCCCAUUUCAUGUAUAACGGAUCGUGAUUGUCCAUCAUUUCCCAAGGGGCGCAUUUCAAAUCCUAAAAAACUGAGGUGUCGUAAUGGUUUUUGUACAUGACAAUAAUUAUAGCUUUAUGGAUUAUAUAUAUGAUUGUCACACCCAAAAGAAUUAAAACAAAAUCACACUACUACUAGAAUAUUCCACAAUUUCUUAUUUAGGAUUGUGAUCACCUAUUAAAUGAGUUUUCUUUUACCUUUUCUAAUUUCACUUACCUUGUUAGUUUUGUACUUUAAGAUAAUGCAAGAUAAAUGACAUAGACUAUGAAAAAUAUUAUCUACA